Molecule: long non-coding RNA, 1076 nt
Organism: Hevea brasiliensis (rubber tree)
Lineage: Eukaryota; Viridiplantae; Streptophyta; Magnoliopsida; Malpighiales; Euphorbiaceae
Exons: 2
Source: RefSeq, a predicted model, not a curated record
ACAAUGUCAAUUCAAUUGUCAAAUGUCCGGUGGAUCACCCGUGUUGCAAUUUGUGGAAAUAAUUUUCGCGCAGUAGCAAAGAGGAAUUUCUCUCUGCACUUUGACUUGAAGCUCACAUGUCAAGGCACCGAUGAAACGGUAAUGAGCUAGACGGAGAGUUUUGCCCAACGCCGGCCUCAAACAACUAACCAUGCCGACAGUUUAGCACCCUCCGACUGUGACAAAUUUCACAGGGAGCUUAUUUUUGUUCCUUUUCUCUCUCCUUUUUCUGCCUAUUGUGGUCACACCAAGUUUUAUAGUUUCAUUGUAGGAUUUGGCAUAAAUGGCAUUGGAGCUCAUACCUAUAGGAACCAUUUUGGCUGUGCUGACAAAUCAAGUCCUGAAAACAGCUCAGGCUGCAAAGGAUGUUCUAAUUGAGAAGGAGAGUUUCAAGGUUCUGUCCAAGCAUCUAUUUGAUAUUGAACCUGUGUUAAAGGAAUUGCAACUACAAAAAUUGAAUGAUUCUCAAGCUGCAAGACUAGCACUUGAAACACUUGAAGCAGAUGUCAAGAAGGCUAAUAACUUGGUUGAGGAAUAUAAAUAUUGAGCCCAUUUCUAUUUCUUGUUGAGAUGCAGGCACAUCGUCAAUGAGGUAUGGAAGUCACUAGGGAUAUUGGAAGGUCUUUGGCUGCAUUAUCCCUUGCAAAUACUGAAGUCCUUGCAGGGAUAUCUGACCAGGUGAAUAGGAUACAGAAUGAAAUGCAAAGGGUGGAAUUGGAAGCAUCAAUUUCUCAGCUUCAAAUUGUUGACAAGUUAAACCAGGGUCUUCACAAUCAGAAACUCAACCAGACUUUUGCAAAUGGCAUGCUUGAAGAAAUAGCCUGGGCAGUUGGGGUUCCAGUAGAACCUUCAGAGAUAAGCAAAGAACUAGCAAGAAUGCUAUUCAAAAUAAUCAUCUCUUCUUCCGGGACUAUUUGGGUGAAUAGAUCUGUAGUCACACCUUGUCUCUAUUGGUGAGGAUUCAGGAAUUCUUUGUAAAUGAAUACCUAAAAUACUCGUUGAUGUUUUGGCAAUAAAAUAUUUGUGCAGAUUAUAUA